GACGAACGCUGGCUGCGUGCCUAAUACAUGCAAGUAGAACGCUGAAGGAGGAGCUUGCUUCUCUGGAUGAGUUGCGAACGGGUGAGUAACGCGUAGGUAACCUGCCUGGUAGCGGGGGAUAACUAUUGGAAACGAUAGCUAAUACCGCAUAACAGUAGAUGUUGCAUGACAUUUGCUUAAAAGGUGCAAUUGCGUCACUACCAGAUGGACCUGCGUUGUAUUAGCUAGUUGGUGGGGUAACGGCUCACCAAGGCGACGAUACAUAGCCGACCUGAGAGGGUGAUCGGCCACACUGGGGCUGAGACACGGCCCAGACUCCUACGGGAGGCAGCAGUAGGGAAUCUUCGGCAAUGGACGGAAGUCUGACCGAGCAACGCCGCGUGAGUGAAGAAGGUUUUCGGAUCGUAAAGCUCUGUUGUAAGAGAAGAACGAGUGUGAGAGUGGAAAGUUCACACUGUGACGGUAUCUUACCAGAAAGGGACGGCUAACUACGCGCCAGCAGCCGCGGUAAUACGUAGGUCCCGAGCGUUGUCCGGAUUUAUUGGGCGCAAAGCGAGCGCAGGCGGUUAGAUAAGUCUGAAGUUAAAGGCUGUGGCUUAACCAUAGUAGGCUUUGGAAACUGUUUAACUUGAGUGCAAGAGGGGAGAGUGGAAUUCCAUGUGUAGCGGUGAAAUGCGUAGAUAUAUGGAGGAACACCGGUGGCGAAAGCGGCUCUCUGGCUUGUAACUGACGCUGAGGCUCGAAAGCGUGGGGAGCAAACAGGGUUAGAUACCCUGGUAGUCCACGCCGUAAACGAUGAGUGCUAGGUGUUAGACCCUUUCCGGGGUUUAGUGCCGUAGCUAACGCGUUAAGCACUCCGCCUGGGGAGUACGACCGCAAGGUUGAAACUCAAAGGAAUUGACGGGGGCCCGCACAAGCGGUGGAGCAUGUGGUUUAAUUCGAAGCAACGCGAAGAACCUUACCAGGUCUUGACAUCCCUCUGACCGCUCUAGAGAUAGAGUUUUCCUUCGGGACAGAGGUGACAGGUGGUGCAUGGUUGUCGUCAGCUCGUGUCGUGAGAUGUUGGGUUAAGUCCCGCAACGAGCGCAACCCCUAUUGUUAGUUGCCAUCAUUCAGUUGGGCACUCUAGCGAGACUGCCGGUAAUAAACCGGAGGAAGGUGGGGAUGACGUCAAAUCAUCAUGCCCCUUAUGACCUGGGCUACACACGUGCUACAAUGGCUGGUACAACGAGUCGCAAGCCGGUGACGGCAAGCUAAUCUCUUAAAGCCAGUCUCAGUUCGGAUUGCAGGCUGCAACUCGCCUACAUGAAGUCGGAAUCGCUAGUAAUCGCGGAUCAGCACGCCGCGGUGAAUACGUUCCCGGGCCU
Molecule: ribosomal RNA, 1367 nt
Filed under: uncultured bacterium
Lineage: Bacteria
Description: bacterial SSU rRNA
Rfam family: Bacterial small subunit ribosomal RNA
Source: RNAcentral